Chiroxiphia lanceolata (lance-tailed manakin) is the source of this 2342-nucleotide long non-coding RNA. RefSeq lists it as uncharacterized. NCBI's taxonomy places the organism in Eukaryota, Metazoa, Chordata, Aves, Passeriformes, Pipridae. The record is from RefSeq and is a predicted model, not a curated record. The transcript has 3 exons.
UGUUUGGUGAGGGCGGCUCGGCCCGUUGUUGUUAAUGGCGCGCGGGGGGUCGCACGGCUUCACCCCCGCCGGCGGCCAUGUCUGCUGAGGGCAGGGCGGUGCCGGGGAUGUUUAGGGGGCUGCGGGCAGCAAGCGGGCAGGGUGCUGCCCGUGGGCUGGGCAGACGCCUCAGGAUAGGCUCCACAGACUGAGACAGCCAAGCAGUGUGGCCCGUGGUCCCCUCGGCACGGAGACAAGCUUUAUUGUCCUUUUCCUGAGGCGCGUUCCCAGUUUCCCCACCACCUCAGUGUGACCUAACGCACAGACAGAGCUUGUGGUGCUGCCGGGCCAGGAUUUAGGGGAGGGAAGUGACCCCCGUCCUCAGAGCAGCCCGUGACCAGGACUUGCGUAUCUGGCACAGCAGGAAGGCGGGACAGACCCGGCUGCACCUUCAAGGAAGGACUCCCUCCGUGCCUCCGGGCGUGGCGGCACACCUAGCAAGGAGCAACGGACACAAGCACAAAGGAAAAGAUUGCCGGGAGGACCUGCUGUCUCCUUCAUUUUAGGCUAAGGAGAGCGCGAGCCGUAGACGAGGAUGGCCGCAAUCACGCCGAUGAUGCUGAAGAGGAUCUUGAGGAUGCGGGGCAGGGCGCUGGGGCGGGCCCUGCCUCGGGGCUGCAGGGCUCUGACCACACGCUGCCGCUGGGUCAGGAUUGCCUCCCUGGCACCCGCCCACGCACCCGGGCCCCGCAGCCGGUACUGGUACGGCGUGCAGGGACCGAAGGCCACCUCCAGAGCCAGCCUGGGGUCCGUGAGGAAGAGGACCUGUUUGGCUGUGUGGCUCAGCUCCACUGCGAUAUCGAUGCCUGAAUUCCCGGUGCCAACCACGACCACCCGCUUUCCUGAAAAGGGUUGUGGGCUCUUGUAGUCCCGGCUGUGCAGAACAGUCAGUGCAGCUGUUUGGCCAGUGCAGACCCUGCCUGACACCUGACCAGGAGGGCAAGACAGCACCAAACAUCCAAGUGCAGACCAGGAGCCUGCAGCACCGCUCGGGUACAAGUCUUGGCCAGACUGAUGGGGUUGAGGGUGCGAGUUCAAGUCUCAGUAUCCCCUCCCUUUUGCGUGCUUAGGAAACCAGCGCACGCCCCUCCUUUGUGAGGAGCCCGUCUGUCAGUGGUCCCAGAGCGCGAAGAGGGCGGGCGCGUUGAGCGGGGACAGCCAGCAGUGCUCCACCACGCUGUACAGGGUGUAGCCCAGCACCAGCCCGAACAGCACGUCCGUCAUGUUGUGCCUGCCCAGCAUCACCCUGGAGAUGCUGACGAUGAGGGCCCAGAGCACCACGAGGACGCGCAGCGGGACAGCGAGCACCAGGUGCCGCAGGACGAAGCGGCAGACCAGGGCGGCGCGGGUGGCGUGGCCCGAGGGGAAGGAGUACUUGUCCACCGAGAUGGUGACGAACAUGUCCAUCUUGUUGUGGGUGGGCCGUGGCCGCUUCACCAGCCCCUUCACCACGGCCACCAUCACCAGGUCCAGCAGCAAUGCUAGGAGAGACAGGAGCAGUGGGUUACUGAAAGCACAGCUGUUACCUAUGAAAGCGCUUGGCUGCCCAGACCUGCUAAGAGAAGGCAGUGUUUCCCAUGGCUGCAACACCCAGGCAGGGAGAGCACAGCACUCGUCUGCACUUGGCCUUCUGCAGCAUGACCACAUCCUCAACCUCUGCUCCCUCGUGCACCACCAGACCAUCUGCCUGCCACAGCCCAACAGGGCUCUGCCAGGGCUUUUGUGUAAAAUCUGAUCUCACUGUGACUCUGGGCUCAACCUGCCCCAUAACCUGAAGGCAGCAGAGGGACAACUCCCUUCCUGGCGGUGCUGACUCAGCACUGUUCUGCCUGCCCUGGUGACUGGAGUUCAAACGUACCGGGUGAAUGAUCAACCUGCUCCAAGCACUCAGCCACAGCUCAGUGUGAGGGGCUCUGAGCUGGUGUGGUGCCAAGGGUCCUGGAGUCUGGCUUCUCCCUGCUGCUGGAGGGAAAGCUAACUGUGCUUUGGUUUUCAAGACUAAAGGAUGAUUUAUGUAACAGUGGCUUGCCCCUGAGAGGUAAAGGCUGUUCUGGUAGAAGAUGCAAAGUACCUGUGAGAAGUGUUCAGCCAGUAUUUGGCAAGAGCAGCUCCUCGUGCAGGUCAGAGGGUACUUUCUCUACCCCUGUGAAUUCUGCUUAGCCCUCACAGCAAGGGCUAUUCUUCCAGGGAAGUCAUGUAAGAGACCAGCUUCUGCUUGUCCUAAGGCUUAUUUCUGGACACCAAACCUUUUGGUCACUUCAGUUCAUUUCCUUUGGUUAAUCAUUUCAGAAUAAAUAUUUUUU